Molecule: long non-coding RNA, 706 nt
Organism: Peromyscus eremicus (cactus mouse)
Lineage: Eukaryota; Metazoa; Chordata; Mammalia; Rodentia; Cricetidae
Exons: 3
Source: RefSeq, a predicted model, not a curated record
UAAACAGGUUCUAAAUAUAGACUUACAGAUGUUUUUCAUUGGGCCAAGGAAAUUUCAGUCCAAUCUAUAUUUGGUUCUCUAGAUAAAAAAGACACUAUGGAUUUCAGGGCAAAUUGAUAAUACUAUAAUUACUAAGACUAUGGGUCUAAAAGUUCCAAAUAAGUUCAUAAGUUUUAACUCCUGUUCCUAGUUUAUAUCUAUCUCAACAGGUUUCCACUUGGCUGACAGAUACAUCCAAGCAUCAUUUGCUGGUGACAACCUACUGCAAAUGACUAUGAGCCCUGAACUUGCUGAAAGCUGAUAUGGACCAAUUCAGCCGAUAUGCAUACCAUCUCUUCAGCUGAUUCUAUGUUACCUGUCCUCGGUCCACUUGGAAUCUCUUGAGAGAGCCGAGUCCUGUGUGUUCCUAGGCCCUGCCACAGGGACCUGGACGCCCUGCCUGUUGAGGCAAGGUUGUGGAUGUCCCGGGCCUUAUGGUCCCUGCUUCGCAUGAUGUGGGGCAGCAUCCAUCUGAACGCUCAUCACUACCAAGGCCAAGGUUUUGGAAGGAAGUCCUUCUUCUCCCAUCUUAGUAUUAGACCAUCGGAUUUGGGACACGGGACUAAGGCCGCUGACUCUGCAUCCCUUACAAGCAUACACAGCUGCCUGCCCUUUUGCCUUGUGUCCAUCCUGGAGCGGCCUUCUGCAAGGUGGGAAGCCCGAGCUG